GGGUCGCCGGCGACGAGCUUUGGUUCGCCGGUGAUGUUCUCGGAGGUGUGGAGUAAGCAAGGGAAGCGGAACCUGCCGCCACCGGUGGUGAUAGAUGAGGCUACCGAAAUGGAGCUUAAGGUGGAAGGGGGAGAAUUCGGGUCGCCGUUGGUGGAUCCUCCGGGGUUCUCUUCGUCGCCGGAGAGAGGGAAGGGAAACGACGAAGAAGACGUCGUUGGAGUGUUUCGCCGGCGGAAGAAGAGUGGUUCGGUUGGGGAGCCUAUGUUUAUGGAAGCUUUUGUCUUUGACUAGAUGGCAUAUAAGGCUUUAGGGGUUUAAAUGUAUUUUCGUUACGUUUGGGGUUUUCUUAUGAUAUAUCACAUAUCUAAAUCCAAAUAAUAGUAAAACUAGUAAUGUAUGAGUACAUAAGUUCUAAAUCACAAAUACUUCCCGAAUUUGAAUGUUUCGGACGGAGGAUGGGGUGAGUUCGUGUUCUUAUAUCUUGACAAUAGAGACGAGAUCCAGAUGUUUCG
Molecule: long non-coding RNA, 512 nt
Filed under: Linum usitatissimum (flax)
Lineage: Eukaryota; Viridiplantae; Streptophyta; Magnoliopsida; Malpighiales; Linaceae
Description: long non-coding RNA (LUSI_LNC002984)
Source: RNAcentral